Non-coding RNA from Pimephales promelas (fathead minnow), 2061 nucleotides. The record is from RefSeq and is a predicted model, not a curated record. Lineage: Eukaryota; Metazoa; Chordata; Actinopteri; Cypriniformes; Leuciscidae.
CACCUUUUUGCCUUCACAUAUCAAGAUAGUAUUGCUCAAAUGCCAUCAAGGGCAACACCCCCUGAGAUACACUUAUGACAACAAAGGGGGGCAACUAGAGAUGCAAACAACAUAUGGAGAUCACAUGAAGGUCUUAUGAUAGCUCCUCUACCAUUACUAAACAUCUUGAUUCCUGAUGCGCACAGUUUUGAUCACUGUGCAAGGGGGGAAAUGUUGAGAAAGAUAAAAAGACAGGGAUUUUGGUCCCCAUACUUACAGACAAGGGUAGAUGAAUUUUCAAAUGAAUGUGAAAUAAUGUCAGAAAAGGAACAGCAACCCCAAUAGGCUCUAUUCCAGAAGGACUUUUCAAGCAUCAAGUGAUGGAUUGUUACAGCCAAGAUGGAGACCAUUUGCUAGAGACGAGGCAGCAACAGGACUAGAAUUAAUAUUUGUAUAGAUAACGCCAAAUAAGACUAUGGAAUGGAAUAAUUACAUAUAUUACAAUCAGCAGAGAUUUAUUAAUUACACGGAUGAAGCACUCCAAGCUCUAGAAGAACAACUAAAAGCCACAAGCAAAAUGACCUGGCAGAAUAGACAAGCUCUGAAUUGGCUCAUGGCAGACACAGGGGGUAUGUGCAUAAUGUUUGAAACUGACUGUUGUACCUUUAUUCCUAAGCGGGCACAGCCCCGGAUGGAUCCUUUACUAGGGCCUAGAAGAAGAUAAAAGAAUUAAGACCGGAAGUUGCUACCAACGCGUGGGAGAGACGGGAGCUUUGGGUAUUGGCUUGACUCAAUAUUUACACCCUGGAUAGACUGGCUCAUUCAGGUGGGAAUAUUAUUAGCAAUAUUAGUUGGUGUCUUCUUUCUGUUGUUUUGUUGUGUUGUGCCUUUCCUCAGAUCAAUGCUGGCCAGUGCAGCUGCCAAACAAAUGAUCAAUGUAUCAGUGAGACCAUCAGGAGUUGAUAUUGGAUGUGUCAACGCAGAGAUUCACCCAAGUGCCCCAGACCUGGAUGAGCUGGACGAGUUUCUGUAAAGUAACUAACUGAGACCAUAUGGAAAGAUGUAGAUAGAGGAACUAUACGUGAAGCGCGGUCACCGAUUGUCAAAGAAGGCAAGGGCAGACUCAACUGGUGGUUUAAAAACCCGCUGUCUGCUCCAACACCAGAUAGCGCUCCAAGGCAACUUGAGCGCCUCUGGCAACGAUGGAGCAACCCAGAUAGCACUCCAGGCCACCGGAAGCGCCUGCGAAGUUCCUCUGGCACCGUGGGACAAGAUAAAGAUUCAAAAAUGCAGGGAAACAUAAAGAAACAUGCCCCUUAAGCUGAUGAUGUAAAAAGGAGGGUAGGAUCUUUUACUCCACUCUAGUCAAUGGAGGGUGGAGAUGUUUGGUCCUGCUUCUCCUCCAGGGUGCACCUAUGUGAUGUGGGUUAGAUUGGUAAAAGGUGAAUGGUCUAUAUUGACCAUAUUGGUAAAAGGAGAGAAGACCGACUCAUAAAGAUGCAUCCUGGGCACAAUUAUUGAGUGUGGGACUAGAGAAAGUCCCAAAGGGGGGCUAUGUUGGAGAAUUCUGCUUGUCCUAUGUACAUGUGAAAGAAGAGUGCUGUACAUGUGAAAGAAGCAUGCUGUGCAUGUGAAAGAAGCGUGCAUGUGAUGUAAUGCCAAGCAGAAAAAACUAGGGUCUUAGGGCACAUGAGGACAGGGACGAGAGAGUGGAAAAGUACCCAAAAAACACUUGUAGCACAGAUGCAGGUGUUGGGAGGCACUGGGAGAGAAACAGAUUGUAUACAAUGUAACAAUGUGCCACUGGGAAAAGCGUACUGAAACAAGGAGCCCAUUGUGUAAAAAGAAAUGAUACGCAUGCGCACAGAAGUUUGCCCCAAUUAAAAAUAAAAUGAUAAUGCAGGUGUUUUUAAUCUGGGAGGAGUAAUAAGGAGGAGCAAGGAGAGAAAAGAUAACAAUUUGAGCGUUAAUUGGCUACCACAAGGUAUAAGAAAUGAGUGCAGACCAUUGUAAGAUCAGAUGCCUGGCCGACAUCUCACUUUGUUGAACUGCUCAAUAAAGUUAUUCUUCUGAGACCUGAAA